Amphiprion ocellaris (clown anemonefish) is the source of this 441-nucleotide long non-coding RNA. Lineage: Eukaryota; Metazoa; Chordata; Actinopteri; Pomacentridae. The record is from Ensembl.
GUUUGGAUAGCCACAAGUUUGAAGAGCAGAGUGAAUAUGUUUGUGUUCCCUUCUUUUUCCAUCCGCUUCUGAUGGGAUGUUCUGUGCUCUGUGCUCUUGGAUGAGAGGUGAAACGUUUUCGACUCACACGAGAUCAUUGUCCACCUGUGAGGGAGGAGUCACAUGACCUCGGCAUCAUCAAGUGACCAGCCUCAGGUGUAGAGGAAGCCUGUGGGUGAGUGUUGUCCUCCAUCCAUCCUGACAGAUGCUUCCUGUGGAGCUUUUUGGAUCCGAGUUUGAAGAGUUCUUCACGAAAAAUGUUUUUAUUACUACAGGGGUUCAUCGUAAAACUCCAACAGCACCAUUGGGUUUUCAGAACGUGACGUCAGCUGUUUCACCUGUCAGUCACCUGGUGCAGGCGGGGAAACACCUGUCCUCAGCGGCUGAGCGCUGUCUGCGCAU